Molecule: non-coding RNA, 145 nt
Organism: Gossypium raimondii (Peruvian cotton)
Lineage: Eukaryota; Viridiplantae; Streptophyta; Magnoliopsida; Malvales; Malvaceae
Source: Rfam
UGUGAAAAAAAUCAUUCAUUUUUACUGUUAAAAACUAACGCAGUUGACAAAAUAACUAAACAAUUACAUGCGACGUGCCACAUAUAACUCAUUUUGACAUACAUGAAUCAGUUUUUAACAGUAGAAAUAAAUGAAAUUUUCAACA